Long non-coding RNA from Clarias gariepinus (North African catfish), 2931 nucleotides. RefSeq lists it as uncharacterized. The transcript has 4 exons. Lineage: Eukaryota; Metazoa; Chordata; Actinopteri; Siluriformes; Clariidae. The record is from RefSeq and is a predicted model, not a curated record.
UGUCCUUUAGGAACGUUAGGUCCUUUUAACCUGUUACAGAUGUUACAGAUAUUAUUUACCAUAUACAGUAUAUUGUUUAGUUUUACAAUCAUUUCUACAGCAAACAGAAUACUGUAGGGUCUUGAGGACAUGAAAAAUUUUAGCAUAUGUAUAAAAAAAGGAAGGAAGCAAAUCAGUCUAAAAUAUAUGCUUUUUGGAUUACGUUUUCAGUACAAUCACUUACUAAACUAUGAACACACAGGAAACGUGGUUAAAAGUGUUAGAUGAAAGCAGCGGCAGUAGCGCCAGUGAUCCGAACAAACAAUAAGUACAUCCAUCUUAGAAAAUGAAUUAGAUCUUUUAGAAAUGUUUAAUAAUGCAUCCCAUAGAAAGUCAUUGUCAGAUAUUGGAAUUUAAAGUGCUGGAUGACAUGGGUACAGUGGAACCUUGGAUUGCGAGCAUACAGUAAUUAAUUCCGGAAGCAUGCUUGUUUAUCAAAACACUCGUAUAUCAAAGCAAAUUUCCCCCAUAAGGAAAAAAGGUCGCCACUUGGAUGUCGUUAAGCAAACGGGCAAUAGCUAUCCAUUGGAUAAUUACUGCAGUGAUUAAUCUGGUUCAGCUGCAAUAAAUUAUUUAACCCUAAAAUGCAGUUUCUCAUUUCUUAAACAACUAUGUCAGAAACAUGGUUCCCGUGGUCGUCUUAAAGAUGUUACUCUGUUUCAGAAGAGCAAAGGAAAGAACUAAGGAGAUUGCUAAAACUAAUUAAAAUUAGAUUAUCCUUGCAGUUAAUAAAACCUGCAAGGAUAGUGGUGAAUCAUCUUAUCAGUGGUCAUUCUGAAUGAGUGUGAUGGGAGAUCACUUAAACGCUUAGUAAAAAAUCAUCAACAGAAGAACUCACAACUAUGUUUAAUAGUGAACGUAUGAUCACUGCCACAUGCACAAUCCAAAGAGAACUAGCUGUGUAGCCUUAAGAGACUAAUCUGGAAAAAAAAAUACAUUCAAUUUGCUAAGGAGCAUAAAUAGUGGACUGUAAAAGGUCAUGUGGUCUAAAGUGGCCAGAUAUACCCUGUCCCGUAGUGAUAAAAGUGUCAGGGUGAAGUAAUGUCCACUGGUCAAGCUUGCUUAAGUAUUGGUGUAUAUAUGUGUGUGUGCAUAUACAGUCUGUGUGAAUAUAUGCGUGUGUGUGUUAAUGCCCAAAGAGUGUGCAUCAGAAAAUUAGUUGUAUGUUUUCGUACGCUGGACCAUAUUUAUAGUUCAUGGGUCACAGGAAAUGUGGUAAAAAGUGUGUGCUGAAGGCUUCUAAGCAGCAGUAGGAGAGCCACUGACACGAACAAACACAGGUCUCAUUUUUCUAAAUUUGUGAAAGCGUUAAAGAACUGUGAAGAAAAGAAAAACAUGUCCGGAGAUACUGUAGGUUAUUUUGCUGGAUGGUAUCGUUACUUCUUGUUCUUCAUCUGGGUUUUGGAUGUUGCUGGGAUUUGGAUUUUAGCAUACCUGAAAAUUUUCCUCAUCAGAAGAAAAAGAAAUGUCUGUGACAUCUCAGGAUGUGUCUGUCCCAAGCUUCAUUAUCCAGAAGCCACACCCAUUUACGAUAGCAUCCUACCAACCCCACCACCGUGACGUUCUGAUGGAAGUCUCGCUCCUAACAUUGCUUUACUGAUAAUUUAAAGCCUUAUGCGUAUUGGCCUGCUUCUCUUGCUUGACAUUUAUUAUUUUUUUCUAAUAAAGCCCUGCAUUUGCAUCUGAACAUGCACAGAAUUAUUGAAAAUCUCAAUAUAUCAGAUUGAUGGUUAUUCUGAAAAUAUAAUGAUUAGGGAAUAAGAAGUUUUUAAAUGUGGGCUAGUCAGUGGAAAAGAGUUCAAAUCAUAGGAAUGUCAUAUAGCAUGAGUCUUGACCACCUUUUGAUGGAAUGAAAGAAGAUUUUCCCCAGUUUUUAUACCUUGAUGGACACCAUGAUGUCCACCAAUCGAUAGAGAAAGGUUAAGGCAGAAGGUUUCUUUCUAAAGUUCUUAAGGAUUUGGACUUUCUGUAAAGACAUUUUGUGAGGACUGUUUGUAAAACACGAUAUUAACAAGGUCUAGCAGAGUAAUUGGGCAAGGUACAAUGAUAAGAGAAUCAUUGCAUGAAUGCAUCGUGUGAAAACAAUCCGCUCUGUGUCAAGACUGUGGCCGAAUAUUUCACGCCACCAGACCAGACUGGUUUGAGCUAGCUAGACAGGAAGGCUAUGGUAACUCAAAUAAGUUUUUUUGAUAACAUAUGAAACUUUGAGACUGCCAAGCAAAAACAGGAAUCUGAUACUACAGUACAGUGGACACAGAUUUACCCAAACUGGUCAGUUUGGAAUAAGGAUCAGACCCUUUAUUUGCUCACUGCUUAUUAUAAAACAGAUAACUAGUUUUAUUAUUUAAUUUUAAAUAAAAUGGGGAUGUAACCUGGAACAAGACAUUCAUCCUUGGCAUGAUACACAGCAAUGUUAUUUGGAAAUAAUUAACUGGUCCCACCAUCUCUCUGGUAGGAAUCCCAGAGAUGUCAACAAGACAUGCAUCUAGACUUCUGGCUUGGGGGGUGAAAUGAACUUCCUCUAGAUGUCCGUACAGCUGAGUCACUGGCAAUAUUAGACCUAUUUAUUUCUUAAGUACAGUAUUUGGGUUAUUCACAUUACACCCCCCACAAACAAAAAAACUCAUUAACAAGUUAAUUAGAAAUUAAUUAAUUAAUUUCAUUUCAUUUCGUAAUUUCUAAAAGUGAAGUGAACCAGUGUAAGGAUAUAUUUAAUGAUCAUCUGCCAAAUAUUUCUGUUUAUAUUUCUUCCUUUCUCUGCUUGCUGAACAUGCACAUUCUAUAUAAGGUGGAACCUAAAUUUUAAUGCAGCUAGCAUUCGGUCAGUUUAGCCUGUUUGUCUGCUCCCUGGUGUGGGCUCUGAAUUCUGCCCAAUUAACCAGGCCAGACUAA